This 505-nucleotide ribosomal RNA is filed under the name uncultured bacterium. RNAcentral describes it as "bacterial SSU rRNA". It matches the Rfam family "Bacterial small subunit ribosomal RNA", at positions 8 to 559 of the family's 1533-position model. The record is from RNAcentral.
AGAGUUUGAUCAUGGCUCAGAAUUAACGCUGGCGGUAUGUCUAAUACAUGCAAGUCGAGCAAGGCUUAGAGCCGAGCGGCGAACGGCUGAGUAACACGUUGGUAGCUGCCCCGAACUCAGGGAUAACAUUUAGAAAUAAAUGCUAAUACCGGAUAGUCCCGAAAGGGUAAAGUUUUUUCGGUUCGGGAGGGGCCUGCGGCCUAUCAGUUUGUUGGUGAGGUAAAAGCUCACCAAGACUAUGACGGGUAGCUGGUCUGAGAGGAUGACCAGCCAGAAUGGGACUGAGACACGGCCCAUACUCCUACGGGAGGCAGCAGUAAAGAAUCUUCCACAAUGGGCGAAAGCCUGAUGGAGCAAUACCGCGUGAAGGAUGAAUGUCGAAAGAUUGUAAACUUCUUUUCUGGGGGAAGAAUUAUGACGGUACCUCAGGAAUAAGCACCGGCUAACUCCGUGCCAGCAGCCGCGGUAAUACGGAGGGUGCAAGCGUUAUUCGGAAUUAUUGGGC